Molecule: ribosomal RNA, 425 nt
Filed under: Fischoederius elongatus
Lineage: Eukaryota; Metazoa; Platyhelminthes; Trematoda; Plagiorchiida; Gastrothylacidae
Description: SSU rRNA
Rfam family: Eukaryotic small subunit ribosomal RNA
Source: RNAcentral
UACUCCAGCUCCAAAAGCGUAUAUUAAAGUUGCUGCAGUUAAAAAGCUCGUAGUUGGAUCUGGGUCGUGCGGUGCCAUGCCGUUGCUUGUUCACUGUUUUGGUUACACAGGACGUGUUCACUCGGUGUAGUGGCUGUGCAGCCUUCUGCCGUGUCUGUGUUAAACGGGUGUGGUGGGUUGACGAGUUCGUCUUGUUGACCUGUCGGCAUGCUUCCGAUGCCUUUAAACGGGUGUCGGGGCGGACGGCAUCUUUACUUUGAACAAAUUUGAGUGCUCAAAGCAGGCCUGUGCGCCUGAAAAUUCUUGCAUGGAAUAAUGAAAUAGGACUUCGGUUCUAUUUUGUUGGUUUUCGGAUCCGAAGUAAUGGUAAGAGGGACAGACGGGGGCAUUUGUAUGGCGGUGUUAGAGGUGAAAUCCUGGGAUCG